This 295-nucleotide signal recognition particle RNA is filed under the name Propithecus coquereli (Coquerel's sifaka). Its description in RNAcentral is "Metazoan signal recognition particle RNA (ENSPCOG00000010678.1)". It matches the Rfam family "Metazoan signal recognition particle RNA". Rfam says of the family: The signal recognition particle (SRP) is a universally conserved ribonucleoprotein. Lineage: Eukaryota; Metazoa; Chordata; Mammalia; Primates; Indriidae. The record is from RNAcentral.
GCCAGGCAUAGUGGCACAUGCCUGUAGUCCCAGGUACUCAGGAGGCUGAGGCAGGAGGAUCACUUGAGCCCAGGACCUCUGGGCUGUGGGGUGCUCUGCUGAUUGGAUGUCCACUAAGUUUGGCAUCAAUAUGGUGACCUCUUGGGAGCAGGGGACUACCAGGUUGCCUAAGGAUGGACGACCUGGUCCAGGUUGCAAAAGCAAGUCAAAACUCCCCAUGCUUAUCAGUAGUCGGAUCAUGCCUAUAAAUAGCCACUUCACUUCACCCUGGGCAACAUAGUGAGACCCUGUCUCU